This 482-nucleotide ribosomal RNA is filed under the name uncultured bacterium. RNAcentral describes it as "partial 16S ribosomal RNA". It matches the Rfam family "Bacterial small subunit ribosomal RNA", at positions 30 to 507 of the family's 1533-position model. The record is from RNAcentral.
AUUGAACGCUGGCGGCAUGCUUUACACAUGCAAGUCGAACGGCAGCGCGGGGCAACCUGGCGGCGAGUGGCGAACGGGUGAGUAAUAUAUCGGAACGUACCCAGAAGUGGGGGAUAACGUAGCGAAAGUUACGCUAAUACCGCAUACGAUCUACGGAUGAAAGUAGGGGACCGCAAGGCCUUAUGCUUUUGGAGCGGCCGAUAUCUGAUUAGCUAGUUGGUGAGGUAAAGGCUCACCAAGGCGACGAUCAGUAGCUGGUCUGAGAGGACGACCAGCCACACUGGAACUGAGACACGGUCCAGACUCCUACGGGAGGCAGCAGCGGGGAAUUUUGGACAAUGGGCGCAAGCCUGAUCCAGCAAUGCCGCGUGAGUGAAGAAGGCCUUCGGGUUGUAAAGCUCUUUUGUCAGGGAAGAAACGGUAGAGGCUAAUAUCCUUUGCUAAUGACGGUACCUGAAGAAUAAGCACCGGCUAACUACGUG